UCGGGCAUGGUGUAAAGGUAACACGUCCCCCGCCACGGCUGCGGUGUUUAAAUGGUACCUGUGGUAAUGGAAGAUCGAGGUUCGAUUCCUCGUGCCUGAG
Non-coding RNA from Coprinopsis marcescibilis, 100 nucleotides. The record is from the annotation of a GenBank genome assembly. NCBI's taxonomy places the organism in Eukaryota, Fungi, Basidiomycota, Agaricomycetes, Agaricales, Psathyrellaceae.